RNAcentral lists this long non-coding RNA (435 nucleotides) under Homo sapiens (human). Its description in RNAcentral is "HSALNT0336537". The record is from RNAcentral. Lineage: Eukaryota; Metazoa; Chordata; Mammalia; Primates; Hominidae.
ACGAGGUGCAGAUAAGAUGUUGGGGCUGGGGGAGGUCACAUUUCCGCCUCAGCAGGAAGAAAUGGGACCUGUUGAAGGAGUCAGGGAUGUCACUCCUGACUAUAUCUUCCUACUUCUAGAGUUAAUUUUUUUUCUGCUGGCUGAUAAAUUGUUUGUUGUUUUAUUUUAUUUUCUUCAGACCAGCUGUUUUUGUUGGUACCACACGAAAAGGAGUUUUCCAGUCACCCAUUUCCCAUAUCAACGAGAAAUCUUGGCGCCCUGAGUUGACAUCUUUGCUGGAGACUGACAGCUGGAAUGAGAUGUUCAAGUGAAGAAGAUGAAGAGAAACACGUCUCUUUAAGAUACUAAAUAUGAUUGUUCAUAAAGCAACUGGAAAACAAUACAAGGUAGUGUUUAUUCAGGAGCUAAGUGGUGUGGUAUCAGUUAAGUACAAUG